ACUACUCGUAAUAAUCACACACCUCUCCGUGGUGAGUAGCAGGCAACGAUCUUAUGGUCGGCGAAGAUGUGGUU
Molecule: ribozyme, 74 nt
Filed under: unclassified sequences
Description: HDV ribozyme from F. prausnitzii
Rfam family: HDV ribozyme from F. prausnitzii
Source: RNAcentral